AUUUAUAUAGUUUAAUUAAAACAUUACAUUUUCACUGUAAAAUUAGACUCUCUCUUAUAAAUA
This 63-nucleotide transfer RNA is filed under the name Melolontha hippocastani. Its description in RNAcentral is "tRNA-Glu". It matches the Rfam family "tRNA". From Rfam's summary of the family: Transfer RNA (tRNA) molecules are approximately 80 nucleotides in length. The record is from RNAcentral. Lineage: Eukaryota; Metazoa; Arthropoda; Insecta; Coleoptera; Scarabaeidae.